GGAUCUGUAGUUUAGUGGUAAAACAGCGGACCUUUAAUCCGUAAGACAGGAGUUCGAAUCUCUUUAGAUCCACCA
RNAcentral lists this transfer RNA (75 nucleotides) under Clostridiales bacterium. Its description in RNAcentral is "tRNA-Lys". It matches the Rfam family "tRNA". Rfam says of the family: Transfer RNA (tRNA) molecules are approximately 80 nucleotides in length. Their secondary structure includes four short double-helical elements and three loops (D, anti-codon, and T loops). Lineage: Bacteria; Bacillati; Bacillota; Clostridia; Eubacteriales. The record is from RNAcentral.